UACAGAGGUCCCGAGCGUUGUUCGGAUUCACUGGGCGUAAAGGGUGCGUAGGUGGUGGGGAAAGUCGGAUGUGAAAUCUCCAAGCUCAACUUGGAAAUGGCAUUGGAAACUGUCCUGCUAGAGGGUUGGAGGGGGGACUGGAAUGCUUGGUGUAGCAGUGAAAUGCGUAGAUAUCAAGCGGAACACCAGUGGCGAAGGCGAGUCCCUGGACAACACCUGACACUGAGGCACGAAAGCCGGGGGAGCAAACAGG
Molecule: ribosomal RNA, 253 nt
Filed under: uncultured bacterium
Lineage: Bacteria
Description: partial 16S ribosomal RNA
Rfam family: Bacterial small subunit ribosomal RNA
Source: RNAcentral